This 253-nucleotide ribosomal RNA is filed under the name uncultured bacterium. RNAcentral's name for it is "partial 16S ribosomal RNA". It matches the Rfam family "Bacterial small subunit ribosomal RNA", at positions 524 to 776 of the family's 1533-position model. The record is from RNAcentral.
UACGGGGGGGGCAAGCGUUGUUCGGAAUUACUGGGCGUAAAGGGCGCGUAGGUGGUUUGCUAAGUUGGAUGUGAAAACUCUGGGCUUAACCCAGAGCCUGCAUUCAAAACUGACAAGCUAGAGUUCUGGAGGGGGAAGCGGAAUUCCUGGUGUAGCGGUGAAAUGCGUAGAUAUCAGGAGGAACACCGGUGGCGAAGGCGGCUUCCUGGACAGAAACUGACACUGAUGCGCGAAAGCUAGGGGAGCAAACAGG